Molecule: long non-coding RNA, 398 nt
Filed under: Nicotiana benthamiana
Lineage: Eukaryota; Viridiplantae; Streptophyta; Magnoliopsida; Solanales; Solanaceae
Description: long non-coding RNA (NBEN_LNC031247)
Source: RNAcentral
UUGAAUCAAAACCUUUAACUAACUGAAAUGAGCUACAAAGUCAAAACAAGACUAAACUUACUAUAACUGGACUAAAACCAUGCUCGAUCGAAUAGAUUGAACGAUGAAUUAAACUGAACUAAAGAAAAGAAAGAGAGAAGGAACUUACUGAAUUUUUAGUCUCCAAAAGAAAAUCUACGAAAUUGACUUCAAGUUAAUAUUAUACGUCCAUUUCAUAAGAAAUAGACCUAUAAUAUUAACCUGAAGUCACUCGACUUGGAAAAAAAACCUCCGAACAACCCAAAACAACGCGAACCUUCGAUUCUGAAUUCGUCCAGUUCCGGUAGCUUUUGACAGAAACUAAUGAGGUAUUAAGGAUGAGGGAUGUCAAGGGAAGUUAUUGUGUGAAUUUGGGCCGG